AGGCAGGGUGCGUACCGACCCGCCUACCAGGCAGGCUAGAAGCCUCACGCUGCUGCUUGGCAGCGGGUGGGUACCCAACCCCUCC
This 85-nucleotide microRNA precursor is filed under the name Suid alphaherpesvirus 1. RNAcentral describes it as "microRNA prv-mir-LLT6 precursor". Its record names the gene prv-mir-LLT6. The record is from miRBase by way of RNAcentral. Lineage: Duplodnaviria; Heunggongvirae; Peploviricota; Herviviricetes; Herpesvirales; Orthoherpesviridae.